RNAcentral lists this ribosomal RNA (495 nucleotides) under Acanthochelys radiolata. RNAcentral's name for it is "partial 16S ribosomal RNA". It matches the Rfam family "Bacterial large subunit ribosomal RNA", at positions 1852 to 2570 of the family's 2925-position model. Lineage: Eukaryota; Metazoa; Chordata; Testudines; Chelidae. The record is from RNAcentral.
GUGAUGCCUGCCCAGUGACAUUGUUCAACGGCCGGCGGUAUCCUGACCGUGCGAAGGUAGCGUAAUCACUUGUCUUUUAAAUAAAGACUGGAAUGAAUGGCUAAACGAGGCUUUAUCUGUCUCUUACGGGCAAUCAGUGAAAUUGAUCUCCUCGUGCAAAAGCGAGAAUAAUAACAUAAGACGAGAAGACCCUGUGGAACUUCAAAUAUUAGCUAAAGACCAUAAACCUACAAACCAAUAGGACCACCAACCAUGACCCUUACUUAGCCUUAUUUUCGGUUGGGGUGACCUCGGAGGAAAACAAAACCCCCGAAAACAUAUACCAAGAAUGACAAGCCAAAGUGCCUACGGCUAAACGAUCCAAUACAUUUGAUUAAUGAACCAAGCUACCCCAGGGAUAACAGCGCAAUCCCCUCUUAGAGUCCCUAUCAACGACGGGGGUUUACGACCUCGAUGUUGGAUCAGGACAUCCUAAUGGUGCAGCCGCUAUUAAGG